CUGCUUGCUUCAAAAGCAUAUAUAUUACAAUUGGAACAACACAGGGAAAAUUAGCACGGUCUCUGAGCAAGCAUGGCAUGAAAAUUUAUUAUGGUCCAUAUUUUU
This is a small nuclear RNA of Cricetulus griseus (Chinese hamster), 105 nucleotides long. The record is from Ensembl. Lineage: Eukaryota; Metazoa; Chordata; Mammalia; Rodentia; Cricetidae.